Molecule: long non-coding RNA, 257 nt
Organism: Melopsittacus undulatus (budgerigar)
Lineage: Eukaryota; Metazoa; Chordata; Aves; Psittaciformes; Psittaculidae
Exons: 3
Source: RefSeq, a predicted model, not a curated record
UACACCAUCAAUAACAAGAGGGACUACAAGGAUCCUUUGAUCCACAAGUACUGCAAAGUGGAGAGUAGCCAAGCUGAGCUGUCAAAGGCUAUCAAAGGAUCUGCCGGACACGUCACAAAACUUCUCCCAGUGCCUUCUUUGCCAAAUGGUGCCUCCCAGCCAAAGAGACCUCAACUCAAGUUUGAAAGAGGUUUUUGGAGAAUUUGACGCGGCAUCGGGGGAGCUGUCACUGACCAGCAGCUUGAUCAGACUGGUCC